This 498-nucleotide ribosomal RNA is filed under the name uncultured bacterium. RNAcentral's name for it is "bacterial SSU rRNA". It matches the Rfam family "Bacterial small subunit ribosomal RNA", at positions 8 to 518 of the family's 1533-position model. The record is from RNAcentral.
AGAGUUGAUCAUGGCUCAGGACGAACGCUGGCGGCACGCUUAACACAUGCAAGUCGAACGGAGAUAAUUGAGUUACUUAGAUUAUCUUAGUGGCGGACGGGUGAGUAACACGUGAGCAACCUACCUUUGAGAGAGGGAUAGCUUCUGGAAACGGAUGGUAAUACCUCAUAACGUAUCGGGACCGCAUGAUUCUGAUACCAAAGAUUUAUCACUCAAAGAUGGGCUCGCGUCUGAUUAGCUAGAUGGUGAGGUAACGGCUCACCAUGGCGACGAUCAGUAGCCGGACUGAGAGGUUGAACGGCCACAUUGGGACUGAGACACGGCCCAGACUCCUACGGGAGGCAGCAGUGGGGAAUAUUGCACAAUGGGGGGAAAAACCCCUGAUGCAGCGAUGCCGCGUGGAGGAAGAAGGUUUUCGGAUUGUAAACUCCUGUCUUAAAGGACGAUAAUGACGGUACUUUAGGAGGAAGCUCCGGCUAACUACGUGCCAGCCGCCGC